This 3145-nucleotide long non-coding RNA is filed under the name Sus scrofa (pig). RNAcentral describes it as "lncRNA (ENSSSCG00055007146.1)". Lineage: Eukaryota; Metazoa; Chordata; Mammalia; Artiodactyla; Suidae. The record is from RNAcentral.
CCAUGGUAUAUGGAGGUUCCCAGGCUAGGGGAUGAAUCAUAUCUACAGCUGCUGGCCUAUACCACAGCUCAUGCAAAGUCAGAUCCUCAACCCCCUGAGUGAGGCCAGGGAUUGAACUUGUAUCCUCAUGGAUACUAGUCAAGCUCAUUUCCACCGAGCCGCAAAAGGAACUCCUCAGGUUCCAUUACUUAUAAAGUAUAGUAAUUGCCUAUGAAAUGGCUAAAGUUCCUUCUAUUGUUUAUUUUAUUUAUUUAUUUUUUAAUUAUAGUUGAUUUACAAUGUUUCUUCAAUUUGAACCAAUCACACACAGAUCCCUGUGCUAUACAGUAAGGCCCUAUUGCCCAUCCAUUCCAAAUGUAGCAGUUUGUAUCCCCUAACCCCAAAUUCUCCAUCCAUCUUCCUCCCCCCAAUACUAUUUAUUUUAAAUACAUUUUCAUUCAUUAAUAGGUAGCUAUCCUAUAAUCAUUCAUAUUUAGAGAUACCUACACUUCUACUGUUGGAUGACUUAUGUCUACCAAGUACACAUGUUGAAAGCCUAAGCCCCAAUAUCUCUGAAUGUGACCACACUCAAAAAUAGGUGUUUGCAGAUGUAGUAAAUCUAAGAUGAAUUCAUCUUGAAUUAAGGUGGAUUAGUAGAAACAUCUCCUGGUCCUGAAGGCCUUAAAGAAAGCUUCUCUCUUAGAUGUUUCUGAAAUUUAAUUCAUAUAAAUAUUAUUCCCAAGGAAUUAAGGCUCAAGAUUAUUACAAAAUUUGGUUAUAAAUAUUUUAUAUACAACUCUCUUUCUUCAAAAGUAAAUGCUCCUCCCUCCUAAUUUAAAGACAGAAUGGAUUCAGUGGAGUGUAUAAUUAAGUUAAGGUAGGACUACUACUCUAGAUUUGCUAAGCUUUUAUACGAACCAUUAUUAUAAAAAUUACCAGCUCAGAAGUGUUUUUAUAUUAGAAUCCAAAUUCACAUAGUGAACAUAAAUUCUUGGAUAAUUCAGACUGAAUUGAUAUUUUUAAUGAAACAGUGAUAGAUUUCUUCUUGACCUUACCAGUAUAAAGUAUAAGAUAAGAACUUUGAGUUAGAUAAAAUUUAAAAUUAUGUGUCCAGUCAUUUGAGUUACACUUCUGACAGGUCUGUAGUUGGAUAUUUUUGACUAAUUUUUUUUUGUCAUUUUCUUUUUAGGGGUGCACCCACAGCAUAUGGAGGUUCCCAGGCUAGGGGUCUAAUUGGAGCUGUUGCUGCACAACUACCCCACAGCUACAGCAAUGACAGAUCCUUAACCCACUGACUGAGGCCAGGGAUCGAACCCAAAACCUCCUGGUUCCUAGUUGGAUUUGUUUCCACUGUGCCACGAUGGGAACUCCACCUUUGACUGAUUUUUAAAUACGAUUGAAUAUUCAAACAUUGGUUAUGGUGUGUGUGAAUGUGUGUGUGUAUGUGUGUGUGUGUGUGUGUAUGUGUGUCUGUAUGUAUUUAUAUCUUUAUAGAGUUUCCAUGUCUUUUGUCCAACUUACUCAUUUUUUUCUGCUUUAAGAAUAUACUAUUUACUGUGUGUAAGACGGUAUGAACAGAAAGUAUGUCUGUUGGGGAUGUAUGCUCAUGAGUUUUGCUGAUUUACUAAAAUGACUGCAUAUGAUAGAAAAUUCUCAAUCACUCCCCUUUAAGAACCUGAGUGGGAGAGAAGCUACUUCUGUUGGUUCAGUCAUAAUGAAUGUGGGUGACUGAGACUAUACUAAAAGGAACAUGAUCAAAUAUACUAAGGGGAAAAAGAGUACAUUUAUCUUAAGAAAAAUGUUAUUCCAUAAAUUAAAAGAGUAUCAUAAAAGACAAAACUGAAUGGACAUAGAAAGCUUUAGAUGGUUUUUAGGAAGUAAAUUCUAUUUGCUUUGGAUGUAAAUGUGUGUAUACACACACAUAUAAAUUUCAAAUAAUCAGUCUGAAUUGAAGCAAUAUUAAAAUUUGGACAACAUUUGGACAGUCAAGGUUUGAUGGGCUUAUUUAAACAAAUUUAGCAAUGUUUUAAGAUAUAAACUUACAUUCAAGCAAGACUAGGUUUUGGUAUUUUAUCUGUUAGAAUGACAUAAGUUGAUCUUGAUAUAUUUAUUUCGCUUUUAAUGAGAAGCAGUGCAUAUUUAACUAUAUUUUGGGUAAUUUUCUGAGUAAUCAGAGAUUCUGUAAGCAACUCACAAAGUGGGUUGGAAACAGUUCUUAGUAGAAAGAAGGAAAAAAGUUCAUAGGAAUAAAUAUUGCUAUGUUAAACUUUGAUCCAGUCUUUGAUGGGGAUGGGGCAUUGUAUGCACUACAAUGUCAAUCAUAUUUUUAACUGUGGAUCACUGUCAUAGGUAUGAAAGCCACUUCUCUAACUUAUCUUGUCCUGGUUUUUUAAUAUUUUCUCUUCAGUCACACUAGAAAGUUGAACUCCUGAAGAAUGAUACUUUCUUCAAGAUGUGAAAAACCUGAGUAGGCACUUUAUAAUAUUAUAAACUAUAAAAGAACAAUUAAAAAGGGGCAACAGUGUGGGAAGUUAGAAGUGGACAGAGCAUCAAAUUCAAGGAAGAGGGAAAAGAAAGUGGAAUAAUGGAACAGGAAGAAAGAGAAGGAAGACAGCCUGAAAAAGGAGAGGGGAAAGUUUUUCCUAGCCCAGAGACCACUUGCUUAGGAAAAAUGAAGAUGAAGACAUAGGAAGAAAAGAGGAAUGGAAAUGUAAUGGGUUUGAGUUGCAUCAUGUGAAUCACAGAGAAAAAUCCUGGUGUUUCAAGUUCUUUGUAUUUCGAGCUUCCAUGGUUCGAACUGGGGAUGUGCGACCUCACACAUACAUGUUUUCAGAUAUUCUGUGUAUGUACUCUCAAAGAUCCUGCCCUCCUUUUGCAGCCCUGGCAGAGACCCAAAGGAGGGGUAAAAUAUGGGCAGAAUGCAGCAUAACAACAGGAAGACUAAGUUCAAUAUUCACUUAGGAAACCUCCCGUCAGGAACUGAUAGGAGUUCCUGUAUGUGAGACAGGCUCCCGAUAAAGAGAGAGACAGGUUCUCCCUGUUCUGAAGCCCUAAAGAAGUAUGCCCUACUAUGCAUUUCUAACAAUCACUUCAUAAAAUAUUAUUCCUUAGGAAUGAGGCUCAUGAAUACUAUAAUCUUUGAUUAUAAAUACUUCGUAUGUAACUG